AUUCAAACAAGGAAGGGAUUAUGGUGGAUACCUAGGAACCCAGAGACGAGGAAGGGCAUGGUAAGUGACAAAAUUCUUCGGGGAGUUGAAAAUGAGCAUAGAUGUAGAGAUUCCCGAAUAGGUUAACCUUUUUAACUGCUUCUUAAUCCAUGGGCAGGCAAGAGAGAACCUGGCGAAAUGAAACAUCUUAGUAGCCAUAGGAAUAGAAAUCAAAAGUGAUUCCCAUAGUAGCGGUGAGAGAAAUGGGAGCAACCUAAACUAUGAAAACAGGGUUGUGGGAGAGCACAAUAUAAGCUCUAUGCUGCUAGGUGAAUCGAUUGAGUCCUACACCCUAGAUGGUGAGAGUCUAGUAGCCAAAAGCAUCAUUGGGUUAUUCUCUAACUCGAGUAGAAUGGGGCACAUGGAAUCCCAUGUGAAUCAACAAGGACCACCUUGCAAGGCUAAAUACUCCUAGGUGAUCGAUAGCAAAGUAGUACCAUGAGGGAAAGGUGAAAAUAACCCCCAUUGGGGAGUGAAAUAGAACAUGAAACUGUCAGGUCCCAAGCAAUGGGAGGAAAAUGAUAUCUCUGACCACGUGCCUAUUGAAGAAUGAGAUGGCAAAUUAUAGGCAGUGGCUUGGUUAAGGGAACCCACCGGAGCCGUAGCGAGAGAGAGUCUUCAUGGGGCAAUUGUCACUUCUUAUGGACCCGAACAUGGGUGAUCUAUCCAUGACCAGGAUGAAUAUUCAGUGAAACUAAGUGGAGGUCCAAACUGACUGAUGUUGAAAAAUCAGUGGAUGAAUCAUGGUUAGGGGUGAAAUGAGACUCGAACCUAGAGCUAGCUAGCUCUCCUUGAAAUGUGUUGAGGCACAACAAUUGACUGGACCAUCUAGGGGUAAAUAUCUGUUUCAAUACAGGCCACGAGAGGAGUACCAAAUCGAGGCAAUCUCUGAAUACUAGAUUUCCCAAUAAAAUGGGUAAAGUCCAGCCAGUGAGACUAUGGGGGAUAAGCUUCAUCGUUGAGAGGGAAAUAACCCAGAUCAUCAGCUAAUUCCCCUAAAUGACCGCUCAACGAUGAAGGAAGUAUGAAUGCAAAGACAGCUAGGAGGUUUGCCUAGAAGCAAUCAACCUUGAAAGAGUGCGUAAUAUCUCACUGAUCGAGUGCUCUUGCGCCGAAGAUGAACGGGACUAAGCGAUCUACCGAAGCUGUGGGAUGUAAAAAUACAUCGGUAGGGGAGCUUUCUACCUUAGAGGGAAGCAUCGGCGUGAGAAGGUGUGGACAAAGCGGAAGCGAUAAUGUCGGUUUGAGUAACACAAACAUUGGUGAGAAUCCAAUGCCCCGAAAACCUAAGGGUUCCUUCGCAAGUUUUGUCCACAGAGGGUGAGUCAAGGCCUAAGAUCAGGUCGAAAGGCAUAGUUGAUGGAGAACAGGUUAAUAUUCGUGUACUACCCCUUGUUGGUCCUGAGGGACGGAGGAGGCUAGGUUAGCCGAAAGAUGGUUAUCGGUUCAAGGACACAAGGUGACCCUCUAUACAUUGAUUCAAAGGUAAAAGAAUAAUCAAAUAUAGGUGUGUACAAGGUGAGGUUGGGGGUGGAUAUUCCUCAUCAUCUACUCUAGCACACAAAAAUCCAAUAUGGCUUAUCCAAACAUUAUAGGAUGCAAAAAAUCAUGUAGGAGCACCCAUAUCAUCAAUGAGGGUGAGUAUACCUUCUAGGAGAUAUGUUAACCAUAUUGUAUUAUAUUCUUCCAUUUAUGAUCUUUACAAUUGUUUUGAGGAGGUGAUGUGUGAUACUUUGUUGGAUGACUGUGAUGUUUGGGGGGUAGUUCCUUUCUGGGAGCCAGUGGUUGAUUUUGAGAUUGCAAUGUGUUCAAAUUUGCAGAAGGAAAGUUUGUUUGAGUUGCAAAGGGAGAGAAAUGAUGUUGGUGAAAACACUUUCCUCAUAAAGAGGGUGUGUUUUCUUUCGAGGUUACUCUAAAAUUGUUUGAUCGAGUUGCAAAGGAAGCAUAAAGAUGUUGGUGAAAACAUUUUCCUCAUAAAGAGGGAGUGUUUUCUUUCGAGGUUACUCCAAAAUUAAGUUACACCAUACUUAAGGGUUCUUCAUGUGAUGUGGGGUGCAUGGUGUAUUUAUAACCCUUAGUUGAUGUGAUGGACAUGCACAUUGGAGUUAGAUUUCCCAUUGAUUAUAAGACCUUGUCUUGAUGCAUAUGUGGAAUUCUUCCUUGGAGCAUUGUAGACCUACAUGGCUAGUGGCUUUCUUCACGAGACAAAAAUGGAGGUUGAUUGAUUCCUUGGGAUGAUGGUUUUCCUUGGAGGAGGAUAAUUGGGCAUCUUGGAGGAGGGAAUUGAACCCUAGAUGGCACAGAGACACUUGGUUUCUUACAUGGAGACUUGACCUUGACUUGAGGACACUUGGGUUGACAACCAAUCAUGUAAGUGGCAUUGACCUAGAGGUAUAAAUGGCUUAAGAAGGAGUGGUGGAGAAUUGGAGCUUGGCAUGUGUGAGUUGGAGUUGGAGUGAUCCACAUGUGGGGAUAUUUAGUAAUUAGAUAGAUUUUUUGUUGUGGACUUGAUCCACUUUAUGAUUUUUUCCUUCCUUGACUUUCAUAUAAAUAAAUUGAGAAGGUAUUUUCAUCACUUUUACUUCUUCACUCAUAGACUCACAUGAUUGCGUUAGAGAUGUGAGACUAGGGUGUACUUGUCUUCUUAUACUCUUAUUCAUGUGUAUUUUCUUGAUGUUUGAAUCCUCCUUAGAGUUUCUUGUCAUAAGUAGUAUUCACUUUUUUGUUCUUCAUUACUUCUCUAAUUCUAACAAAAGCACAACAGAAACAAAUCUAAAUAGAGGGAGGUCAUCUCUUUAGUUGAUAAAAUUAUGGAAAGUAAGAAAUAUAGAGAAAAAAAAGAAGAAAAAGAGUAGGGAUCUUCAUGGAGAAAAAAAAGAGCUAACCCUAACCCGAACUCGAUUGGAGUCUUGUGAUUUUGGGGACAAAGCCCAUGAAAUUACUAUUAUCGACGACCUCCUUCUCUUUCUUUGUCGCUCGAGAUUUUAUGUGGAUCUUGGCCUCCUUAUCUGUCGCUAUCCCUCAACUUUCUCUUGCCCAACUCCUUCUUUGUGUCUUGGCCUCCUCUUUCCCUAGCUCUUGCCCUCCUCUUGGCCUCCUUCUCUUGCCAAACAUC
This is a non-coding RNA of Picea glauca (white spruce), 3154 nucleotides long. NCBI's taxonomy places the organism in Eukaryota, Viridiplantae, Streptophyta, Pinopsida, Pinales, Pinaceae. The record is from Rfam.